AUUACCGGCUCAAUAUUCGCGCUAAAUUUUAUCUGUGUUUAGGGAAGUAGCCGUUUAUAGAGUAUUAUUAUGAAAUAUUAUUUGAGCCGAUAGUUUAAUAUGUACUGUAAAGGAGUAUUUUAUUGUUUUGUUAAAGCAGUUUUAAUUUAUUGUACCUUUUGUAUCAGGGUUUAUUUAUUUUCAGGAUUUAUAAAUCUAUUUCCCGAACUUAUGGGAGCUUCUGUCAGGUUGAUAGUUAUUAUGUAAAUAUUAUUAAUUAGUCUAUGGAAGGGUUAUAUGCCAUUCAUUCAUAAUUAUCUGGUUCCUGAAGAGAUGAAUUUAAUUCAGGGAGUAAUUGAUAUUUAUUAGUCCUAAUUAUUAAAUAGUUCCAUGUCUACCCAAUGUUAAAGGGGAUUAGCUCUUUAAUAUUUACAUAAAUAUUGAUAAUUUUGGAAUUUUUAUGGGAUUAGUAACGUCCUAUAUUUUAUUUCGUUAUAGUUAUGGUUCUGUUGUUAUUUUAUUUAAAUUAAUUUUGUAUACUUUAUUUGGGUUUUGCAUUUUAUUUUAUAUUGCAAGUAUUAAUGAUAAAAUUAGUAGUAUGGUAAGUUUGAGCAUAGGAACUCGGCAAUAAUGGUGUUCACCUGUUUAACAAAAACAUGGCUUAACUGUUUGUUUAUGUUAGGUCAGGCCUGCUCAAUGAUUUAUAAUUAAAUAGCCGCAGUAUAUUGACUGUGCAAAGGUAGCAUAAUCACUUGUCUUUUAAUUGGAGGCUUGUAUGAACGGUUUGAUGAGGUACCAGCUUUCUUUGUUUAAACUAGUGAAUUUGAUUUUUGGGUUAAAAAGCUUAAAUAGUGUUUAGGGACGAGAAGACCCCAUAGAGUUUUAAUUAUUAAAUAGUUCCAUGUCUGUGGGUAUAGAUAAUUGCAUGGUAUAAUAGAAAUGGUUUUCGUUGGGGUGACUGGGGGAUUUUCUAAACUCCCUUUAUUUAUUUAUCAUUGAUUUAUGUUAAUUAAGAUCCUUUUAUUAGGGAUAAUAAGAUAAAACUACCUUGGGGAUAACAGCGUUAUUUUUCCGGAGAGUUCAAAUCGAUGGAGGAGUUUGCGACCUCGAUGUUGGAUUAAAAUGGGUUUUUGGUGUAGCAGCUAAAUUGACCGGGUCUGUUCGACCCUUGAUAUUUUACAUGAUCUGAGUUCAGACCGGCGUGAGCCAGGUUGGUUUCUAUCUUUAAUAUAUGUUUGUUCAUUUUAGUACGAAAGGACCAGGUGUA
This 1246-nucleotide ribosomal RNA is filed under the name Scaptocoris castanea. Its description in RNAcentral is "16S ribosomal RNA". The stretch from base 809 to 1246 matches the Rfam family "Bacterial large subunit ribosomal RNA", at positions 2048 to 2700 of the family's 2925-position model. Lineage: Eukaryota; Metazoa; Arthropoda; Insecta; Hemiptera; Cydnidae. The record is from RNAcentral.